CCUUCGGGUUGUAAACCGCUUUUUGUCAGGGAAGAAACGCUCCGGAUUAAUACCUCGGAGUAAUGACAGUACCUGAAGAAUAAGCACCGGCUAACUACGUGC
This 102-nucleotide ribosomal RNA is filed under the name uncultured bacterium. RNAcentral describes it as "partial 16S ribosomal RNA". The record is from RNAcentral.